Molecule: ribosomal RNA, 497 nt
Filed under: uncultured bacterium
Lineage: Bacteria
Description: partial 16S ribosomal RNA
Rfam family: Bacterial small subunit ribosomal RNA
Source: RNAcentral
GACGAACGCUGGCGGCGUGCCUAAUACAUGCAAGUAGAACGCUGAAGAGAGGAGCUUGCUCUUCUUGGAUGAGUUGCGAACGGGUGAGUAACGCGUAGGUAACCUGCCUUGUAGCGGGGGAUAACUAUUGGAAACGAUAGCUAAUACCGCAUAACAAUGGAUGACACAUGUCAUUUAUUUGAAAGGGGCAAUUGCUCCACUACAAGAUGGACCUGCGCUGUAUUAGCUAGUAGGUGAGGUAAUGGCUCACCUAGGCGACGAUACAUAGCCGACCUGAGAGGGUGAUCGGCCACACUGGGACUGAGACACGGCCCAGACUCCUACGGGAGGCAGCAGGAGGGAAUCUUCGGCAAUGGGGGCAACCCUGACCGAGCAACGCCGCGUGAGUGAAGAAGGGUUUCGGAUCGUAAAGCUCUGUUGUAAGUCAAGAAAGGGUGUGAGAGUGGAAAGUUCACACUGUGACGGUAGCUUACCAGAAAGGGACGGCUAACUACGUG